GAAUUAUUGGGCGUAAAGAGCUUGUAGGCGGUUUGUCGCGUCUGCUGUGAAAGGCCGGGGCUUAACUCCGUGUAUUGCAGUGGGUACGGGCAGACUAGAGUGCAGUAGGGGAGACUGGAAUUCCUGGUGUAGCGGUGGAAUGCGCAGAUAUCAGGAGGAACACCGAUGGCGAAGGCAGGUCUCUGGGCUGUAACUGACGCUGAGAAGCGAAAGCAUGGGGAGCGAACAGGAUUAGAUACCCUGGUAGUCCAUGCCGUAAACGUUGGGCACUAGGUGUGGGGGACAUUCCACGUUUUCCGCGCCGUAGCUAACGCAUUAAGUGCCCCGCCUGGGGAGUACGGCCGCAAGGCUAAAACUCAAAGAAAUUGACGGGGGCCCGCACAAGCGGCGGAGCAUGCGGAUUAAUUCGAUGCAACGCGAAGAACCUUACCAAGGCUUGACAU
RNAcentral lists this ribosomal RNA (443 nucleotides) under uncultured bacterium. RNAcentral describes it as "bacterial SSU rRNA". It matches the Rfam family "Bacterial small subunit ribosomal RNA", at positions 548 to 987 of the family's 1533-position model. The record is from RNAcentral.